CUACGGGUGGCUGCAGUGAGGAAUAUUGCACAAUGGGGGGAACCCUGAUGCAGCAACGCCGCGUGGAGGAUAACGCAUUUCGGUGUGUAAACUCCUUUUAUAUGUCAAGAAAAUGACGGUAGCAUAUGAAUAAGCACCGGCUAACUCCGUGCCAGCAGCCGCGGUAAUACGGAGGGUGCAAGCGUUACUCGGAAUCACUGGGCGUAAAGGACGCGUAGGCUGUUUAGCAAGUCAGAUGUGAAAUCCAAUGGCUCAACCAUUGAACUGCAUUUGAAACUGCUAGACUAGAGUAUGGGAGGGGCAGAUGGAAUUAGUGGUGUAGGGGUAAAAUCCGUAGAUAUCACUAGGAAUACCUAAAGCGAAGGCGAUCUGCUGGAACAUUACUGACGCUAAGGCGUGAAAGCGUGGGGAGCAAACAGGAUUAGAUACCCGUGUAGUC
Molecule: ribosomal RNA, 439 nt
Filed under: uncultured bacterium
Lineage: Bacteria
Description: partial 16S ribosomal RNA
Rfam family: Bacterial small subunit ribosomal RNA
Source: RNAcentral